Long non-coding RNA from Dermacentor andersoni, 5330 nucleotides. RefSeq lists it as uncharacterized. NCBI's taxonomy places the organism in Eukaryota, Metazoa, Arthropoda, Arachnida, Ixodida, Ixodidae. The record is from RefSeq and is a predicted model, not a curated record.
UGUAUUAUAAAUAAAAACAAUCGUAAUCUAUAUUUACUCAACAAAAAACGAAAGUAUCUUUAUCAUAAGAGUGUUGCAAGUCAAGGCCGGCCAAGACGAAUGCCUAGCCAAUCCAUGACAAUAUGGUGGCGUGCGGCGACGCGUCAUUUUGAUCCUACCAGAACAGAAUAUCAGCGAGUUAUGCUCUGAUUAUUUUGGUCUGCGAGCAAAAGAAGCACGAACGAGGAACUCUGCAUCGUGCUCUUCAAGGUUUCAUGUGGGUCCUUCAACAGGCCCUGGACAUGGGUGGACUCCUCGGUCCAGGACCCCAUUAGCCGCAGCUGCCCGGCGUGCUCUCAUGGCCAGAUCGAACUGGUCCCGGGAGUUGAGGCUAGACAGCAAGGCUUCCCAUCGUUUGGGUCUGUGUCAGUGAAAAUGGCGGCCUCCGUCCUGGCAUGCACAACAUGCCCGGCGUGGCGAUCAUGGCGGCCACGCCGACGUAACACAAAAGGGGCCAAAAAGAAGUGCAAGCUUGAAAUUAUUAUUUGACAAGAAUGCAGAAUACAAGGAGGCCCCACAUAUGUUCCAGUGGUGUUUUCUGGACCACAUUUGAACUACAGAUGAAGAUGCAGAAUUCGGAUCUUUGGAUGCAUUUUUCUCAUUUUGCAUUUGUUUGCAAGUCAAGGAAGAAUGAAGGAUGCUACAUCAAUGUUCUGAAACAUUUCAAGAGGUGACAAACUACUAUUGAACUGUGAAGAUUUAGUACAAGUGGCUUUAAGCCUGUGAAUACAAGGGUUCCUGGACAUGGUCAUGACUCCCAAGAAAGAAACCGAGACCACAUGCUGACAAUGUUCAUCCCUGUUCCAACAAAGAGAGGCCAGCCUUAACCAGCUGGGUUUUCCAGAUUUUGCGCAUCACAGCUUGGGCUGUCCCGUGCCACAAGAAGUCAUUUCUGCAGUGACCGUGGAAGGCAUCCCACAAGUCUUACUCGACAUUAGCACCUUUGUCCUGCAGCUUUUCUACCAGCAGAGCUAACUAGAGACGAGCAUUGACAUGGCAGAGGGGCUUCCAGAGAGUCUGAAGCUGGCUCAUCAAAUGGCCUUUCUAGAAAGAUGAGUGAUACGUGCUGAUAUUCUCUGAAAUAAAAUGUGCAGCUGCUUUUGGUACUAACGAGGGUUUGUUUCCUGUUACUAAUCUGGUACUGUGGUGGUAGCUGGAGUGUUUUUGUGGCACCUUGAUUAUGCUGAAAUUUUAUUUGCAAUUAUUCAAAUGUAACCUUGUGCAGUAUAUAUAAAUAUGCAAGAAAUAGCAUUAAAAGGAGUGGCCAGUACCACACUUUUGCACUCCGGUAGCGCUGCAAUGGUAGUGGAAAACAGCAUUCAAGCUUCAAGUAGACAGCAAUCAGGCUUUAUUAAUAGCAUAUCAAGCCUUCUUAUGCUCAGACUAAAGCUGCUAGGACAUGCAGGCCUAGACGAGCAAGCCUGGAAAAGUGGACAGAUACGUACCGACUGAUACAUGCAAGGUGAUACAGGCAGUUUGAUUCAUUCAGUCUUAUACAUUCACGCUGAUAUAUGCAGGCCCAAAUUAUGUAUUCCCUUAGACCAAUAGGCUGCUGGAAUUUGUUACUAUAGAGAAUAUCUAGUUAGUACACUCAGCUUUUGGCGAGACAGUCACAGUUGUCAUGGUAUGACCUUUGAACACUGCACUGGGCUGACUGACCAGCGCAUCAGGGGUUUGUGACAAAAUGUGCGACAACCAUCUGUGACAAAAGAUUUCCCUGGAAUGUAAAUCUUGAAUGCACUUUGUUUAAGGAGAGAUACCAAUCAAAUGCUCCCCCUGCCCCGUCCUUGUGGUCUUCUCCUUUUCAUACUGUGUUUGAAGCUGUGCCGAUGUGGAGUGAUGCUCACAUUGCACUGUCUGAUUUCAUAUACUAUUGGUGCUUUGGCGUGACUCUCCGCCACCAUAUCGGUUAGGGAAGUCAUGAUGAAGGCCAAGCAACAUGUGUGGGGACACAGUGAUGGAACGAAGCCUAGUGGUGCUAGUGGGAGGAGCAAUUGGUGUACUGCAGAGACGAGCAGUGGGGACCGCGAAGCAAAUAGAUAAAAUGGUUGGCGAACUCGGGAAAGUUUCCGAGGACGUUCAGAUUGCAAUGUGCACAGUGCCAGAGGUUGAAAGUCAAGGAUGUUAAAUUUAAAGCGCAGUGUUUGCAGCAAACAGGGAAAUUUAUUUGCUGGCUAAUGCAGUGAAUUUCACAGUUAUUGACAUCAACUGGGAAGUGCACCGAGCUGGCCGCAAAAGCACUUUUGUGUGUGAAGUGAUGCAUUUUAGCGAGCAGGUAGUUUCACUGGUGGGACGCUGAAUUGUGGCACGAGCAGUAGGUUUUUUAGGCAGGGCACCGGACUUGUAGUGGCACCCCACAGUGGCCAUGGGAUCUAUGCUACGUAGCAGACUGCAGCUAAAUGCAACUGCAGUGUGCAUGCGUAGUGUUUGCUUUGCGCACGACAGGGCUUGGGUGCACGCUCAUGUACUCCUGUCUGGCUGUGCUACGUAGUGCAGACUGGCUUUGUCCUGCACCAGCUUGUACGACGGAUAGUAGCCACAUCUUUUUGCGCAUUUUGAUGCGCUACCAAUCACUCAAUACUAAGUGAAGUCUGCCAAGGUGUAUAACCAAGUGCAAAAUUUGAGGGUGGAUUUUGGCUUACUUCAGCCUGUUUAUUGAACUGCAUCAAUAAAUAUACACAGUAACAGUAGGAAGAAGCGCACUGAUCCAAACACCCUUCUUGAUUGAUGUCAGCUAUUGGCCAAUAGCAACUGUGUAUGGGAAUGUGCUAUAUUAUGAAACAAAAGGUCCAGAAAAAAGUGAGGAACAGGCUUCUGUUGAAAAGAGAGUGUUUGAGAGAAAGGUGACUUUGCGCCCCGCUUGCGAGCUCCAUGCGCCGAUCAUGACUGCAAAACUUGGCUGAGAUGUUCACAGCGUGUGCUGUCUGCUGACUGUGUUCUUUCACCAAGCUCAAGGGGUGGUUCAGGACGCCUUUAAGUACUGAAAGUAGCGACACACCAGCAAGGAGCAGAAUGAAAACACAAGGAAGUAAGAAAUGCAGCUCAAAGAAUAAACAUAGAGACUGUACAAUUUUUUACAUAAACAUGCAGCAUGGUUGAAAGCAAGAUAAAUGGCUGAAAUUUGAAACACAGCUGAAUGAUGAAGCUGUUAGUAUGUACGCCUCGACUGAAACACAUCUCCAAGAUUUAAAGCAACUGCCAGUUAUUGACAAUUUUGUAUGGGGAGGGUGCAACAGUGAAUAGGUCAAGGAAAGGCAUAGGCACACUUGUAAGGUGAGGUACGAAGUGCAAAGGGUAAAGGAGAUGUGUAAGGAGCAUUUAUGGAUUGGCUGCACUUUGGAAGGAAAAAAGAUGAAGCUGGGAGUAGCUUACAUAUGGACAAGUAGUGAUAGCAGAGAACAAGAUAGAUCAUAUAGAUUGGCUGCAUUAUAAACAAUAUUAUUGAGUUCAGAAAAUCAGGCCAGGUGAUAUAUAGUCGGAUAUAUAAAUGCUCACAUGAAGGAUCUAGAUGGAUAUAGUACUGAUUACAGCGGUUCUCUAGUGCUAGAUCUGUGCGAGGAACAGAACCAGGGAGAAUAAAUGUCAUGGACAGGUAAUGUGGCAAUGCAGGAAUAGGCAGUCAUGUAUUGACUACGCCUUAGUCUAUGAUCAUAAACGAUUUACGAAUGACUAGGCCAUACGACGAUAGCCUUGGCAGUGACUAUAAAUGUAUAACCUUAACUUUUGGGAGAGAGACCGAUGCAGGACAGGAAGCAACAGCAGCAUAAUACUUCAAACUAAAUGAAAAGCAAAUAACAGACAUAGCAAAAACCUAAAGAAGAAAGUGGAAGCCUUUCGUACAGCACUCUGAUUGCAAGGAACUCGUAGACGUCAUGCAGCAUGAGAUAAAACAAACAUGGCUAAAAAUCAUUGGAGUGGAAAGAGAAAACCACACAAGUGGUGGAACAAGAAAAUAAAGCAAGCUAUAGAAGAGCAAUAGCAGGCUUCCAGGGAUCAAAAAGAAGCCAAUAAAUUGAGAUUACACAAAGGAGAGGUACUGCUUAGAUGGAACAAGUAAUGGGACAACAAAAGGGUGGCAAGCGAAGUAGUGCAACAAAAAAUUCAAUGUACAAGUGAAAGCUGGGCGCAUAACAUUCGCAAAAACAAUUGCAUACCAAAAAGAUUCUGUAAUGUGAUUACAACUGCGCAACUGGACACGGACUGAGUAAAAGGAGGGGACACCACACGGUGCUGUCAACUUGCCUGACUUUCCAUCCUGCUGAUUCUGGAACCAUGUAAAGGCACUAGCAGCAUGAACUACAAAUGUGCAAAUGUUUAUAAGGGAUAACGAUGGCAACAUCUUCGAAGGAGACGACAUGCUAUGGUAUGACAUGCUUUGGGGGCACGACACCGUUGAACGCAGGAUGCUCAUCGCUUUCCUAAUGUUCCAGAUACUGUCGUACUGGUCUUGUGCUGGUACAUGCCCUACCCCAGAACCCUUUCUGCAAACCGGAUAGCCUUCCCUGAAACCGCCACAAUCCUGGGCUACCAGUCUGCCUCUCGUCACUGACGCCGUGAAGAAAAGUCCAGUUUCAGCGGCAGAGGCUUCGUUCACCUGACAAUGCCCUAUGAAAGCGACGUCAUCAGUCACAAGGUCCAGCCAGGCUGUAUUUAAUCCGUGUGGCAAAGCUGAUCGGCUGGGGCACGACACCGUUGAACGCAGGAUGCUCAUCGCUUUCCUAACCUUCCAGGGAGUCUGAAAAAUUGGACGUCGACUGUAAAACUGACUAAGAGGAUGCUUCAAAUGGUCCUUGGGGCGAACGCGCGGUGGAAGGACAACGAAAACAGAAAGGACCUACGCACUGAGGAAGGAUUGGGAAAGGAACUGUGCCGCCGCUUCUUUGAAGGAGAUUGAUCUCAAAAAACAAACUGUUGGCUGACGCCGAGAUACAGGUGUCCCUCAUCCAAACCAAAAUAAACUCUUUAAAGCAGUGAAAUGCAGCACUGAGGCAUUGUGCAGGGGCUGAGAGUAUGUCGGGACAGUUCAGGUUGACUUACCAACUGUUGAGAGGGAAUCUCACUUGUGAGAAAGUUCGGGCCUCAUACAUAUGAGCUUGCUAUCAGUUGAUAGAAAUAGCUCAUAUUCAAAAAUAUUUGCUUCUGUAUCUAUCUGCUUUUUAUUUGUAUUUGAGAAUGUUCAACUCGAUUUGCAAUGGGUUCUACCAUGAUCUUUUUGAAGAUAUUCGCUGUGCAUUUUACUAAUCCCUCACUUCUGUUUUCUCUUUGAAUAAAAUAAACACUACUCCUUACUA